GGCAAGAUGGCCGAGCGGUUAUGGCGGUAGGUUCAAGUAAUCAAAUAUUACUUACCUGUAAUACAGGCAGUGUUCUACUGGGGAAACCCGCGUGGGUUCGAAUCCCACUCUUGUCA
Non-coding RNA from Xylaria telfairii, 116 nucleotides. The record is from the annotation of a GenBank genome assembly. Lineage: Eukaryota; Fungi; Ascomycota; Sordariomycetes; Xylariales; Xylariaceae.